Molecule: transfer RNA, 69 nt
Filed under: Hydrolagus mirabilis (large-eyed rabbitfish)
Lineage: Eukaryota; Metazoa; Chordata; Chondrichthyes; Chimaeriformes; Chimaeridae
Description: tRNA-Arg
Source: RNAcentral
AGGUAUUUAAUCUAAAAAAGAACACUGAUUUCGACUCAGCCCAUCGUGGUUAAAGCCCACGAAUACCUU